Molecule: ribosomal RNA, 1485 nt
Filed under: uncultured Verrucomicrobiota bacterium
Lineage: Bacteria; Pseudomonadati; Verrucomicrobiota
Description: bacterial SSU rRNA
Rfam family: Bacterial small subunit ribosomal RNA
Source: RNAcentral
AACGAACGCUGGCAGCGUGGAUUAGGCAUGCAAGUCGAACGGGAUUCCCUUGCGUAGCAAUACACUUGGGAUGAGAGUGGCGGAAGGGCGAGUAAUGCAUGGGUAAGCUGCCCUCAAGCUGGGGAUAACGCCGCGAAAGUGGCGCUAAUACCGAAUGUGGUAUCGCAACGCAUGUUGUGAAUACUAAAGGCGGGGACCUUCGGGCCUGCCGCUUGGGGAGGUGCCCGUGUGCCAUCAGCUUGUUGGUGAGGUAACGGCUCACCAAGGCUAAAACGGCUAGCUGGUCUGAGAGGAUGACCAGCCGCACUGGGACUGAGACACUGCCCAGACUCCUACGGGAGGCUGCAGUCGAGGAUCAUUCGCAAUGCGCGAAAGCGUGACGAUGCGACGCUGCGUGGAGGAUGAAGGCCUUCGGGUUGUAAACUCCUGUCAUGAGGGAAAAGAGUCGCGGGUGUAAAUAGCGCCUGCGAAGGAUGGUACCUCAAGAGGAAGCCACGGCUAACUCUGUGCCAGCAGCCGCGGUAAUACAGAGGUGGCGAGCGUUGUUCGGAUUUACUGGGCGUAAAGGGUGUGUAGGCGGUACGGUGUGUCGGAUGUGAAAGCCCGUGGCUCAACCACGGAAGUGCAUCCGAAACUGCCGGGCUAGAGUGCAGGAGGGGAGAGCGGAAUUCUUGGUGUAGCGGUGAAAUGCGUUGAUAUCAAGAAGAACACCGGUGGCGAAGGCGGCUCUCUGGAAUGCUACUGACGCUGAAACACGAAAGCUGGGGGAGCAAACAGGAUUAGAUACCCUGGUAGUCCCAGCCGUAAACGGUGCGCACUUGGCGUGGGGGGAUUUGACCCCCUCCGUGCCGGAGCUAACGUGUUAAGUGCGCCGCCUGGGGAGUACGGCCGCAAGGCUAAAACUCAAAGAAAUUGACGGGGGCCCGCACAAGCGGAGGAGCAUGUGGCUUAAUUCGAUGCAACGCGAAGAACCUUACCUGGGUUUGACAUGCAGCUGCAAAUCUCCUGAAAGGGAGACGCCUUCGAGGGUGCUGCACAGGUGCUGCAUGGCUGUCGUCAGUUCGUGCCGUGAGGUGUUGGGUUAAGUCCCGCAACGAACGCAACCCCUAUGUUUAGUUGCCAUCAGGUAAUGCUGGGAUCUCUAAACAGACUGCCCGUAUACGCGGGAGGAAGGUGGGGACGACGUCAAGUCAGUAUGGCCCUUACAUCCAGGGCUGCACACGUGCUACAAUGGUCGGUACAGAAGGAUGCAAGACCGCGAGGUGGAGCAAAUCAUCAAAACCGGCCUCAGUUCGGAUUGGAGUCUGCAACUCGACUCCAUGAAGUUGGAUUCGCUAGUAACGGCGCAUCAGCUACGGCGCCGUGAAUACGUUCCCGGGCCUUGUACACACCGCCCGUCACGUCAUGAAAGCCGUCUGCACCCGAAGUCAUCGAGCCAACCCGCAAGGGAGGCAGGUGCCGAAGGUGUGGGUGGUAAUUGGGACG